Molecule: long non-coding RNA, 1323 nt
Filed under: Vigna radiata
Lineage: Eukaryota; Viridiplantae; Streptophyta; Magnoliopsida; Fabales; Fabaceae
Description: long non-coding RNA (VRAD_LNC006926)
Source: RNAcentral
UAUAAUAUAAACAUACUGUACAAUAUCCUUCUUUCUAAUUUAUCUAUUUAUAUUUGAAUUAUUUAUUUAUAUUUUUUUCUAAAAGUUGCUUGAUAAUUAAAAUAAAAAAUACAUAAAUGUUAGUAAUUGUCUUAAAUGAUCCAGGUAAGAUUGGAUAUUCUCAUUGAUUCUACGUUCUCUAACAAUUAUUGCAUAUAAAUUUAGUUUUUUCUUCUUUUGUCUUGAUUGUCUUUCUAUCUAUGCCUCUCUAUAUCAAUUAGCUUUCUUUCAAUAUCUUUAUCUAGGUUUUUUUAAUGUCUUCACAACAGUCUAUGGUUAAUUCUUCUCUUCAAUUCUUUCUCUUAACACGUCUCUCUUUCACCCUAAGCAUGUUAAUAUCCUUAUUUAUUUCCUUCUUUCGAUCAUUCCUCGAUGUCCUUAGUAGAUGCCCCUUCAAGAGAAUGUUACUACAUGUCUUUCAUGAUUAAAUAUUCUCUUGAUACUCAACCCAACUCUUCAACUUCAGAGCUUUUCACAUUGUUUUCCUUGCAUUCUUUCACAUUGAUUGUUAGAAGCAUCACUUAUCUCUUCAUAAUCUUUGCAUCUAAUGCGUUGUUAAUGUAACACCCCUAACAGAGUGCCACUUGUAAAUAAUAAGAUCUGAAAUUUACGUCAUUUUUUUUUUCAUUUAAAUACCAUCGCUUAUAAAAGUUUAUAUAAAAUCGCAGAAGCAAACAAAACAUGAGACGUCCGAACAUAUUACAAUAUUAAAUUCAAACCUUACAAUUAUUAAAAUCCAUUAUUCAAAAAUAUAAAAUACUUUAAAUAUAAUAAAAUUCCCAACAGCUAAUCCCAUAUCUCUCAUUGCGCUACUUUUGCCCUGCCUUAUCUACAACGCCAUCUACUUCCGUACAAAUACGAUCAUUGGAGGUGGAACCACAACCAUAAAAGGAUAGGGUGAGUAACUAAGAACAUUACAUAAUAUUUAACAUCAUAACAUAGUAUCACAGACUAAAAAUGUCAUAACAUAGCACACAGGCUAAAGUAUUCAUAACAUCACACACCUCUCAAUGUUCAACUCAUAACUCAAAUCAUCAUCACCCAAACUAUCAUAGUCAUAACAUUACAAUACAUCACAAUAUUGAACUCACAACUCAGAUCAUUUACACAAGCUUCUAUUGUUUCCUUGAAUUUUGUCAUAGCAAACCUAAAUUAGGAAACCAACCUUCAAUUAGACAACCUUAGAAUAGUAAAACACUAAGUCAAAAAACCCCAAACCUAAAUUAGGAAACCAACCUUUAGUUAGACACUAGGUUACAAAAAGACUAAGUCAGAAAAGACAAG